RNAcentral lists this ribosomal RNA (500 nucleotides) under uncultured bacterium. Its description in RNAcentral is "partial 16S ribosomal RNA". It matches the Rfam family "Bacterial small subunit ribosomal RNA", at positions 30 to 523 of the family's 1533-position model. The record is from RNAcentral.
AUUGAACGCUGGCGGCAUGCCUUACACAUGCAAGUCGAACGGCAGCACGGGAGCAAUCCUGGUGGCGAGUGGCGAACGGGUGAGUAAUGUAUCGGAACGUGCCCAGUCGUGGGGGAUAACGCAGCGAAAGCUGUUCUAAUACCGCAUACGACCUAUGGAUGAAAGCGGGGUAUCGCAAGACCUCGCGCGGUUGGAGCGGCCGAUAUCAGAUUAGGUAGUUGGCGGGGUAAAGGCCCACCAAGCCGACGAUCUGUAGCUGGUCUGAGAGGACGACCAGCCACACUGGGACUGAGACACGGCCCAGACUCCUACGGGAGGCAGCAGUGGGGAAUUUUGGACAAUGGGCGCAAGCCUGAUCCAGCAAUGCCGCGUGCAGGAUGAAGGCCUUCGGGUUGUAAACUGCUUUUGUACGGAGCGAAACGGCUUCCACUAAUACUGGGGGCUAAUGACGGUACCGUAAGAAUAAGCACCGGCUAACUACGUGCCAGCCGCCGCCGUAA